RNAcentral lists this ribosomal RNA (292 nucleotides) under uncultured bacterium. Its description in RNAcentral is "partial 16S ribosomal RNA". It matches the Rfam family "Bacterial small subunit ribosomal RNA", at positions 505 to 796 of the family's 1533-position model. The record is from RNAcentral.
GUGCCAGCCGCCGCGGUAAAACGUAGGAGACAAACGUUAUCCGGAGUUACUGGGCGUAAAGGGCGUGCAGGCGGUCUGUUAAGUUCGGCGUGAAAGCGCCUGGCUAAACCGGGCGAGGUCGUCGGAGACUGGCAGACUCGAGGGUGAUAGAGGCGGGUGGAAUUCCGGGUGUAGUGGUGAAAUGCGUAGAGAUCCGGAGGAACACCAGUGGCGAAGGCGACCCGCUGGGUCACACCUGACGCUGAGACGCGACAGCAUGGGGAGCGAACGGGAUUAGAUACCCCAGUAGUCC